GUAGCGUAUAUUAAAGCUGUUGCGGUUAAAAAGCUCGUAGUUGGAUAUCAGUGCGUGUCCGGUCCGGUAUGCCUGGCGCUGUCGCUCACGCGGCAAUGCUGGGCUCCCAAAUAUCGGCUGGCCGCAUUCAAUCGUGCCGGAUCCGUCGACGGGCCGUUCUUCGGAGGGGCCUGUUGGCGACCGGCGACGUUACCUUGAACAAAUUAGAGUGCUCAAAGCAGGCUCUUAAUGCCUGUAUACAUAUUCAUGGAAUUGGAGAAUACGUCCCUGGCUCGAUUUGGUUGGUUUUGAGAGUCGAAGGGAAAUGAUUAAUAGGGACUGACGGAGGCAUUCGUAUUGCGACGCGAGGGGUGAAAUCCUGUGACCGUCGCACGACGAACUACUGCGAAAGCAUUUGCCGAGAAUGUUUUCAUCGAUCAUGAACGAAAGUAGACC
RNAcentral lists this ribosomal RNA (435 nucleotides) under Austrominius modestus. RNAcentral describes it as "SSU rRNA". It matches the Rfam family "Eukaryotic small subunit ribosomal RNA", at positions 594 to 995 of the family's 1831-position model. Lineage: Eukaryota; Metazoa; Arthropoda; Thecostraca; Balanomorpha; Elminiidae. The record is from RNAcentral.